This 465-nucleotide ribosomal RNA is filed under the name uncultured bacterium. Its description in RNAcentral is "partial 16S ribosomal RNA". It matches the Rfam family "Bacterial small subunit ribosomal RNA", at positions 28 to 507 of the family's 1533-position model. The record is from RNAcentral.
GACGAACGCUGGCGGCGUGCUUAACACAUGCAAGUCGAACGGAAAGGCCUCUUUGGGGGUACUCGAGUGGCGAAAGGGUGUGAAAAACGGGAGUAACCUGCCCUAGAACUGGGGGUAACUUCAGGAAACUGGGGCUAAUACCGGAUAGGAAUCCUUGCAGCAGGGUGGGGGUUGGAAAGCUUCGGCGGAUUUGGAUGGACACGCGGCUUAUCAGCUUGUUGGUGGGGUAGUGGCUUACCAAGGCUUUGACGGGUAGCCGGCCUGUGAGGGCGACCGGCCACAUUGGGACUGAGUUACGGCCCAGACUCCUACGGGAGGCAGCAGUGGGGAAGAUUGCACAAUGGGCGGAAGCCUGAUGCAGCAACGCCGCGUGCGGGAUGACGGACUUCGGGUUGUAAACCGCUUUCAGCAGGGGCGAAGCUUGUGGUGACGGUACCUGCAGAAGAAGCACCGGCUAACUACGUG